AUUGAACGCUGGCGGCAGGCCUAACACAUGCAAGUCGAAUGGUAACAGGAAACAGCUUGCUGUUUCGCUGACGAGUGGCGGACGGGUGAGUAAUGUCUGGGAAACUGCCUGAUGGAGGGGGAUAACUACUGGAAACGGUAGCUAAUACCGCAUAACGUCGCAAGACCAAAGAGGGGGACCUUCGGGCCUCUUGCCAUCAGAUGUGCCCAGAUGGGAUUAGCUAGUAGGUGGGGUAACGGCUCACCUAGGCGACGAUCCCUAGCUGGUCUGAGAGGAUGACCAGCCACACUGGAACUGAGACACGGUCCAGACUCCUACGGGAGGCAGCAGUGGGGAAUAUUGCACAAUGGGCGCAAGCCUGAUGCAGCCAUGCCGCGUGUAUGAAGAAGCCCUUCGGGUUGUAAAGUACUUUCAGCGGGGAGGAAGGGAGUAAAGUUAAUACCUUUGCUCAUUGACGUUACCCGCAGAAGAAGCACCGGCUAACUCCGUG
This 490-nucleotide ribosomal RNA is filed under the name uncultured bacterium. RNAcentral describes it as "partial 16S ribosomal RNA". It matches the Rfam family "Bacterial small subunit ribosomal RNA", at positions 30 to 507 of the family's 1533-position model. The record is from RNAcentral.